GAUGAACGCUGGCGGCGUGCCUAAUACAUGCAAGUAGAACGCUGAAGGAGGAGCUUGCUCUUCUGGAUGAGUUGCGAACGGGUGAGUAACGCGUAGGUAACCUGCCUGGUAGCGGGGGAUAACUAUUGGAAACGAUAGCUAAUACCGCAUGACAACAGUUAUUGCAUGAUAACUGUUUAAAAGGGGCAACUGCUCCACUACCAGAUGGACCUGCGUUGUAUUAGCUAGUUGGUGAGGUAACGGCUCACCAAGGCGACGAUACAUAGCCGACCUGGGAGGGUGAUGAGCCACACUGGGAAUGAGAAACGGCCCAGACUCCUACGGGAGGCAGCAGGAGGGAAUCUUCGGCAAUGGACGGAAGUCUGACCGAGCAACGCCGCGGGAGGGAAGAAGGUUUUCGGAUCGUAAAGCUCGGUUGUAAGAGAAGAACGAGUGUGAGAGUGGAAAGUUCACACUGUGACGGUAGCUUAACAGAAAGGGACGGCUAACUACGUG
This 495-nucleotide ribosomal RNA is filed under the name uncultured bacterium. Its description in RNAcentral is "partial 16S ribosomal RNA". It matches the Rfam family "Bacterial small subunit ribosomal RNA", at positions 28 to 507 of the family's 1533-position model. The record is from RNAcentral.